UGCGUAGGCGGUUUAUUAAGUCAGAUGUGAAAGCCCCGGGCUUAACCUGGGAACUGCAUUUGAUACUGGUAGACUAGAGUAUGGUAGAGGGGGGUAGAAUUCCUAGUGUAGCGGUGAAAUGCGUAGAUAUAGGGGGAAUACCAGUGGCGAAGGCGGCCCCCUGGACCAAUACUGACGCUGAGGUACGAAAGCGUGGGUAGCGAACA
This 206-nucleotide ribosomal RNA is filed under the name uncultured bacterium. Its description in RNAcentral is "partial 16S ribosomal RNA". It matches the Rfam family "Bacterial small subunit ribosomal RNA", at positions 568 to 774 of the family's 1533-position model. The record is from RNAcentral.